Molecule: ribosomal RNA, 561 nt
Filed under: Meloidogyne sp. D40_D2A_G06_21
Lineage: Eukaryota; Metazoa; Nematoda; Chromadorea; Rhabditida; Meloidogynidae
Description: partial large subunit ribosomal RNA
Source: RNAcentral
UCAGCAUAAUUUUCUGUGAUGCAUUUACUUGUUUGGUGCUUGGGGAUGUUUGAGGCASAUUUGGUUCCGGCGUUUUGAGGCCAGCUUGCUGGUACCCAAACGGUGUUAGCAUUUUUUGUCUUGGGCAUUUGAGUAUGGCUCACGKGUAUUUAUUGGACCGAUCUGAGUGAAAGUUACGGUCGCAUGCGACACGUGCUUUUCGAUUAGCCCGGUCCAGUUAAUGCUCUCGAACUCCUUCCCCAUGGAAAAGCCGGCCAUCUAUCCGACCCGUCUUGAAACGCGGACCAAGGAGUUUAUCGUGUGCGCAAGUUUUUGGGUGUUAAAAACCUAAAAGCGAAAUGAAAGAAAAUGACUCAUUAUAGGCUGAUGGGCGAUCUUGUAAAAAAGUGCAGCAUGGCCCCAUUCUAACUGUUUACAGGASGGUGGAGGAAGAGCGUACGCGGUGAGACCCGAAAGAUGGAGAACUAUUCCUGAGCAGGACGAAGCCAGAGGAAACUCUGGUGGAAGUCCGAAGCGGUUCUGACGUGCAAAUCGAUCGUCUGACUUGGGUAUAGGGGCGAA